This 72-nucleotide transfer RNA is filed under the name Chloropicon sp. RCC4434. Its description in RNAcentral is "tRNA-Trp". It matches the Rfam family "tRNA". Rfam says of the family: Transfer RNA (tRNA) molecules are approximately 80 nucleotides in length. Their secondary structure includes four short double-helical elements and three loops (D, anti-codon, and T loops). Lineage: Eukaryota; Viridiplantae; Chlorophyta; Chloropicophyceae; Chloropicales; Chloropicaceae. The record is from RNAcentral.
GGGAAAAUAGUUUAAUAGGUAAAACCCUGGUUUCCAAAACCAAAGUUAGGGGUUCAAGUCCCUUUUUUCCUG